CCCCAGCACCGCCCCUGCCCACAGACACCGCGGGGCGCGGCAUUCUGGCGCUGUCGCGCGCCGGUCGCUCUUGGAUGACGUUCGGGUCUCCGCGAGCUGCCAGCAUGGAGGAGGCCGCGGCGGGAAGCGGCGGUGGUAGCCCUGCCCUGGGACUGGCUCUCGGGGAGCUGCUGGGGGACGAAUGUUACGCUGAUUUUUUUAAGAGAAGACUUUGAUGUAAAGACUUAUACUUCUCAAUCUGUUCAUCAAGCUGUGAGCUGAACAGUUAGCAAAACUUGCUCAAGGAAUCAGUCAACUGGAUAAAGAGCUUCACUUACAAGUAGUUGCAACACAUGAGGACUUAUUGGCACAAACAACUGGGAUUGGAUCUCUGGAAGGUAUAAAUUCAUUUUGUGCUGGUUAAUUUUUAGUAUAAUGGAGACACUGUUAAUAGCUUCAUAGUUAAGGUGACAUCAGACUGCUGAGUAGUAACGUUACUACUGGACAGAGGUCUUAAUUUAUUAACUUACGGCAGUUUUCUUUAAUGUCAGCAGAUGGAGCUGUAAGGAGAGUAUUUUGUUAAUACUUUUUUUUUAACAUAAUUACACUAUAGAAAGAUUUGUUAAUGGAAGGAAUGUUCUAAGCAACUUAAAUAAUGCAAUCAAGUUUCUGUAAGUAUCUUCAAAACUCACACUGUUUUAAAAAUUUCAUACAGUAGCCACCAGUCUAUCAACUAACACCAUACAGCGACAUGUUGCCAUGAAUACCAGCUUUGUGAAUGGUGGAACAUGUUUCUAAUGUCAUUUAACCUACAAAUAAAGAACAAAGUAAUUAUUUUGUG
Long non-coding RNA from Mauremys reevesii (Reeves's turtle), 820 nucleotides. RefSeq lists it as uncharacterized. The transcript is spliced from 3 exons. The record is from RefSeq and is a predicted model, not a curated record. Lineage: Eukaryota; Metazoa; Chordata; Testudines; Geoemydidae.